This 76-nucleotide transfer RNA is filed under the name Anaerolineaceae bacterium. RNAcentral's name for it is "tRNA-Thr". It matches the Rfam family "tRNA". Rfam says of the family: Transfer RNA (tRNA) molecules are approximately 80 nucleotides in length. Their secondary structure includes four short double-helical elements and three loops (D, anti-codon, and T loops). Further hydrogen bonds mediate the characteristic L-shaped molecular structure. tRNAs have two regions of fundamental functional importance: the anti-codon, which is responsible for specific mRNA codon recognition, and the 3' end, to which the tRNAs corresponding amino acid is attached (by aminoacyl-tRNA synthetases). tRNAs cope with the degeneracy of the genetic code in two manners: having more than one tRNA (with a specific anti-codon) for a particular amino acid; and 'wobble' base-pairing, i.e. permitting non-standard base-pairing at the 3rd anti-codon position. Lineage: Bacteria; Bacillati; Chloroflexota; Anaerolineae; Anaerolineales; Anaerolineaceae. The record is from RNAcentral.
GCCACCGUAGCUCAAUUGGCAGAGCAUACGCUUCGUAAGCGUGAGGUUAUGGGUUCAAGUCCCAUCGGUGGCUCAA